CGCGCCGCCGCCCGGCCUUUAUCCGCCGGGAGCGGCACGCCCUCCGCCGCAUCAACCCCGCUCCCCGCCGCACCGGCCCGCGGGGGCCGGCCUGGGUUGGGUUGGGUUGGGUUGGGCCGGGCCGGGCCGGGCCGGCCUGGCCUGGCCUGGCCUGGCCUAGCCUAGCCUAGCCUAGCCUAGGAUGGCGUGGCGUGGCAGAGCCCUUGAUGAACGGGGGCCGCGCUGGGCCGACACUCACCUGGCCGAGGUGCCGGGCGGGGCUGGGGCGCGGCCCCCGGGCACGGGCAGGAGUGCAGCUGGACUGGAGCUAGUUCCCGGCCGGGGUGCAGACCCCUCGCCCCACAGACAAAUGAAACCCGCAGUAGCAACAGGAGCGCAGCCCCCGACCCACCCGCACCACAGCCCCACGCAGGCGACACAGGUCGCCGAGACAUCUCAUGACACUUCCUGGGUCUCUGAAAGCUGCGGUGAGCUGUCCCUGCGUGUCCCUAUCCUGUGCCGACCCGAUCAUCCUCCCCUUGGGUGCAAUCCAGCACGGACUUACGGUCUUGGCUUUGCUUCCAGGAGCUGCUCCACUGAUUCAAGCAAAGUGUGUUACCUAUUUACAUCAAGGCUGCCACACUGAAAGGUGCAGGUGUCUAUCAGAGAAAACAAAUCCAUUAAAACACAAUCAAUACAGUCUUAUUUAAUUAAAUUACUAUCGUCAUUCUCAGGUAGAAAAUUAGAAUACAAAUGUCCAAUUAUUUUCUUUUCAAGAGUUUUUUUCUAAUCCUUCCACUAAACCAUCACACCAUAGUUUUCUCUCCAGUGACCUAAUAGAUUCUUCCCCCAGGCUAAUUUAUAUUAGGUGCAUUUGUUAACAAUGGAUUAAGAAAGAACCAGAUAUGAAGGUGAGGUAAAGUGAGAGUUAUGUCUAAACUUCUAUUGUUCCCUAAUCAGCAUUGCCUCCUGUUUUAAAACUAUCAAAGAAAUCAGAGAUCAGAUUUAGUAUACUGAAAUGUUGAGGUGUAUCUCGUGGCACAGCAGCCACUGCCCUUUCCUCAAAUUACAAAGCCAAGCAGCAGGAAGCUUUUAUUAUUCAAAUAAAAACUGACAUUAAGUGAGAGUUUUAAUUUACAGCACAAAACUAGUGGCAGGGCAUAGAGAUAUUGCAGUCAGGUACAGGCUGUGUCUCUGCGAGCAGCUCUGCUGAGAGCACAGGUUUGUCCAGCCCAGGGGAAAGCAGCCUGGAAACAUGGAGCUGAGCCUUUUCUCAAGGACUUCUCUCCCAUCAUCCAGUACUUCAUCUUUUAAUAGAUACUAAUUGCUUAUUGACUUUGGCCUGGGUUGGGACUCCUUAGCAACCAUUCCACAUCCGGAUUAGCUGAUUGCUUAUAAUAUUUUUAUUUCCGUUCCUUUUCACUCCCACACCUAGUAAUGCACACGAUUUAAUAUCAUUUUGUGCCCAUGCCAUGCUGGAAGUUGAAGCUUCAGACACUGUUUUUUCUGUAACAAAGGCAGUGAAUAGGAAUCACACAGGAAAAAGACAGAAUUCAUAUUAGGACCUCUAUUUUUAACCGAUGUAUUUAGUUAAAAUUUUCAAUAAAAGUAAUUUUUUCCAUAGACCCAGCAAAGAAAUUUUUCAGCCCAAUGUUAUACUGUGCAAUCACAAGCUCUGCACACAUAAGGACAGUGGUUUCUUUGAGUGGUUUUCCACCAUUCCUUCCAUCCAUCCAUCCAUCCAUCCAUCCAUCCAUCCAUCCAUCCAUCCAUCCAUCCAUCCAUCCAUCCCAUCAGAAGCACCGAGGCACAAAACCAGGUGUAAAGUGCUCAGCAAAGCUCCAGCACAGACAUGCAAGCCCAGCUCACCCCAUCAGACUCAGGACAAGUGGCACAGUCAGGGCUGUUGCUGUUGUGACCAUGCAGGGUUGGUGGGGUACUGGUGGUCUGCAGUAGCCCUUGUCACAGCUGCCCUUCCCUGCACAUCACAGGGCUUUUGAUCAGAAUUCAGCCUUUUGCAUCCUGACUGCUUUCAUGAUUAUUGAGAAACAAAGACUGCUUUAUGGGAAGAGAAUGAAAAAAGCAAAAUAAUUUCUGCUCCAAGGAACAGAUCUUGUUUCGUUCCUUUCUUCCCAGUCACAGAUGAUCCUCACAGCUACAGUCUGAUCAAGAUUUCUGGUUGACAGGAAGCAGAGAGGCAGCCCCUGCCUGCAUGGCACCCCAUCGCCUGCACAGGUGACUGAGAUCAGGAGAGGUGCCCUGUCUGAGACCUUCCUGGCCACAAAUGUGAUAUCCAGCUGUGGCAGCAACUGCAGGGCUGGGCAUCAAUGCCUGGUCUUAUCCACUGAUGAGAGAGUCCCUCUGUAAGGCUCUGUGAUCAGAUUCCUCUUGGGGUCACAUUUGACCUCAAAAACUGUAUUUCCUUUGAAAUGAAGUUGGAAGACAGUUUAACACAAGUGAACCUGUGUUUCAUCAGGAGACAGAGAAAUAAAAACAAGCUAAACCAUGAA
Long non-coding RNA from Parus major (Great Tit), 2489 nucleotides. RefSeq lists it as uncharacterized. Lineage: Eukaryota; Metazoa; Chordata; Aves; Passeriformes; Paridae. The transcript is spliced from 2 exons. The record is from RefSeq and is a predicted model, not a curated record.